RNAcentral lists this ribosomal RNA (301 nucleotides) under uncultured bacterium. RNAcentral describes it as "partial 16S ribosomal RNA". It matches the Rfam family "Bacterial small subunit ribosomal RNA", at positions 509 to 807 of the family's 1533-position model. The record is from RNAcentral.
CAGCCGCCGCGGUAAUACGUAGGGUGCAAGCGUUAAUCGGAAUUACUGGGCGUAAAGCGUGCGCAGGCGGUUUGUUAAGACAGAUGUGAAAUCCCCGGGCUCAACCUGGGAACUGCAUUUGUGACUGGCAAGCUAGAGUCUGGCAGAGGGGGGUGGAAUUCCGCGUGUAGCAGUGAAAUGCGUAGAUAUGCGGAGGAACACCGAUGGCGAAGGCAGCCCCCUGGGCCAACACUGACGCUCAUGCACGAAAGCGUGGGGAGCAAACAGGAUUAGAUACCCGAGUAGUCCCUGUCUCUUAUAC